Eublepharis macularius is the source of this 141-nucleotide small nuclear RNA. RefSeq annotates it as U4 spliceosomal RNA. The record is from RefSeq and is a predicted model, not a curated record. The transcript has a single exon. NCBI's taxonomy places the organism in Eukaryota, Metazoa, Chordata, Lepidosauria, Squamata, Eublepharidae.
GUCUUUGCGCAGUGGCAAUAUCGUAACUAAUGAGGUUAAUCCGAGGUGCGAUUAUUGCUAAUUGAAAACUUUUCCCAAUGCCUCGUCACGAUUACUUGAAAUAUAGUAAUUAGUGGCAAUUUUUGGUAGUCUCUACGGAGA